This is a long non-coding RNA of Gopherus evgoodei (Goodes thornscrub tortoise), 97 nucleotides long. RefSeq lists it as uncharacterized. NCBI's taxonomy places the organism in Eukaryota, Metazoa, Chordata, Testudines, Testudinidae. The record is from RefSeq and is a predicted model, not a curated record. The transcript has 3 exons.
UUAGGUUAGAUAUUAGGAAAAACUUUUAAACUACAAGUGUAGGUAAGCUCUGGAAUAGAUUUCCAAGGGAGAUUGAGAAGGUUUUUAAAACAGGUUG